UAGGGAAUCUUCGGCAAUGGGGGCAACCCUGACCGAGCAACGCCGCGUGAGUGAAGAAGGUUUUCGGAUCGUAAAGCUCUGUUGUAAGAGAAGAACGUGUGUGAGAGUGGAAAGUUCACACAGUGACGGGAACUUACAAGAAAGGGACGGCUAACUACGUGCCAGCAGCCGUGGUAAUACGUAGGUCCCGAGCGUUGUCCGGAGUUAUUGGGCGUAAAGCGAGCGCAGGCGGUUUUAUAAGUCUGAAGUUAAAGGCAGUGGCUUACACAUUGUUCACUUUGGAAACUAUUAGACUUGAGUGCAGAAGGGGAGAGUAGAAUUCCAUGUGUAGCGGUGAAAUGCGUAGAUGAGUGGUGGAGCACCGGUGACGAAGGCGGCUCUCUCGUCUGUAACGGACGCUGAGGCUCGAAAGCAUAGGGAGCAAACAGG
RNAcentral lists this ribosomal RNA (429 nucleotides) under bacterium. Its description in RNAcentral is "partial 16S ribosomal RNA". It matches the Rfam family "Bacterial small subunit ribosomal RNA", at positions 355 to 776 of the family's 1533-position model. The record is from RNAcentral.